AUCUGUCAUGCUGAGGUAUGCAGACCAGAGUCCUGGGUUCAACUCUGUUGUGACUUUCUUGCAUCUGAUCUUUCAAGGACAUCUGCACUGAAGCCCUUCCUCGAUCCUCCUUUACACAUGGCCAGACUCAGUUUCAGCAACACAGAAGGCUGAAGGAAUCGAAUCCAUCUAUUCACAUAUGGUAUACACUUACUGAAAAUCUGUACUCAGAAACGUGCCUCCCAUCUCACUCUGAAUGGAUUUUCUGUUGAAAUGCCUCCAAGACAACAAAACGCUGCCAUUGAAGCUUUAGACAAAAAAUAAAAGAAGGAGCCACCAAAA
Molecule: long non-coding RNA, 321 nt
Organism: Heterocephalus glaber (naked mole-rat)
Lineage: Eukaryota; Metazoa; Chordata; Mammalia; Rodentia; Bathyergidae
Source: RefSeq, a predicted model, not a curated record